This 305-nucleotide unclassified non-coding RNA is filed under the name fungal sp. RNAcentral describes it as "partial internal transcribed spacer region". The stretch from base 1 to 46 matches the Rfam family "Eukaryotic small subunit ribosomal RNA", at positions 1786 to 1831 of the family's 1831-position model. Lineage: Eukaryota; Fungi. The record is from RNAcentral.
AAGUCGUAACAAGGUUUCCGUAGGUGAACCUGCGGAAGGAUCAUUAACACUAUAUGUGAGUCUCGCACUCAUCAUAUAUUAUCAACAAACUCGUGCUCCCUUUUUUUCCCACACCAUAAACCCUUUUAACUGUUUUUUACAGUUAAUAGUAUUAUAUUUCUUAAUACACUUGUUUGACCUACAGUCGACAUAUACAUACGUGUAUGUAAAUUGUUUGUCAAGAUAUACGUGAAUGUCAUGUAAAGUGGUUAAUUCUACUUUCAUGGUUACGCACACAAGUGUUAGCAAUGGAUAUCUAGGCUCUC